RNAcentral lists this ribosomal RNA (284 nucleotides) under uncultured Anaerolineaceae bacterium. RNAcentral's name for it is "partial 16S ribosomal RNA". It matches the Rfam family "Bacterial small subunit ribosomal RNA", at positions 1100 to 1382 of the family's 1533-position model. Lineage: Bacteria; Bacillati; Chloroflexota; Anaerolineae; Anaerolineales; Anaerolineaceae. The record is from RNAcentral.
AACCCUUGUCCUAGUUACCAGCACGUUAUGGUGGGCACUCUAAGGAGACUGCCGGUGACAAACCGGAGGAAGGUGGGGAUGACGUCAAGUCAUCAUGGCCCUUACGGCCUGGGCUACACACACGCUACAAUGGGAAGGGACAAUAGGUCGCGAAGCCGCGAGGCGGAGCCAAUCCAGCAAAACUUCCCUCAGUUCAGAUUGCAGGCUGCAACUCGCCUGCAUGAAGUUGGAGUUGCUAGUAAACGCAGGUCAGCCAUACUGCGUUGAAUACGUUCCCGGGGCUU